GAGAACUGUGGGGGUUGACAAAAGUUUGCAGAGCAAUUCAAAUUAAUGAAGCACAUGGAAAAAUGUUACCUUGUGGAAAAUUUCCAGGCAAAAAGAGUUUUUGAAUAAACUGUUCGAUGUUGGGAUUUCACUCGCCCUUAUUUUCAUCCGAGCUGUGAAUCAUCCGAUCAUCGGCUUGAAGGGAUGAGACAUGGUGCUAGGAAUGGAAUCUGUUUUAUGCAACUAUGCUAUGUGGAGAAAAAUGCUGAAGAUGCAGAAUGCCAGCUGCUAAACGCCGUUUCAGAAAGGGCAUGGGAGAAACCCAGGAGAAGGUUUUUCUUUCUAAAUAAAU
RNAcentral lists this long non-coding RNA (331 nucleotides) under Serinus canaria (Common canary). RNAcentral's name for it is "lncRNA (ENSSCAG00000003733.1)". Lineage: Eukaryota; Metazoa; Chordata; Aves; Passeriformes; Fringillidae. The record is from RNAcentral.